UCGACGGUGAGGGAUGAAAGCUGGGGGAGCAAACCGGAUUAGAUACCCGGGUAGUCCCAGCUGUAAACUAUGCAAACUCAGUGAUGCAUUGGCUUGUGGCCAAUGCAGUGCUGCAGGGAAGCCGUUAAGUUUGCCGCCUGGGAAGUACGUACGCAAGUAUGAAACUUAAAGGAAUUGGCGGGGGAGCACCACAAGGGGUGAAGCCUGCGGUUCAAUUGGAGUCAACGCCAGAAAUCUUACCCGGAGAGACAGCAGAAUGAAGGUCAAGCUGAAGACUUUACCAGACAAGCUGAGAGGUGAUGCAUGGCCGUCGCCAGCUCGUGCCGUGAGAUGUCCUGUUAAGUCAGGUAACGAGCGAGAUCCCUGCCUCUAGUUGCCACCAUUACUCUCAGGAGUAGUGGGGCGAAUUAGCGGGACCGCCGCAGUUAAUGCGGAGGAAGGAAGGGGCCACGGCAGGUCAGUAUGCCCCGAAACUCUGGGGCCACACGCGGGCUGCAAUGGUAACGACAAUUGGUUUCGAAUCCGAAAGGAUGAGGUAAUCCUCAAACGUUACCACAGUUAUGACUGAGGGCUGCAACUCGCCCUCACGAAUAUGGAAUCCCUAGUAACUGCGUGUCAUUAUCGCGCGGUGAAUACGUCCCUGCUCCUUGCACACACCGCCCGU
Molecule: ribosomal RNA, 664 nt
Filed under: uncultured archaeon
Lineage: Archaea
Description: bacterial SSU rRNA
Rfam family: Archaeal small subunit ribosomal RNA
Source: RNAcentral